UAAAAAUUGUGUAUAUAUCAAAUAUGACAAGAAAAAUACACUUCUCAAUUUAAUGCUUUGAAUUUGGGCCUCUUUAAGCUCCUGGUCUUUUUGACAAUGCCUUCAGCACGUCAUAACAACAGUGCUCCUCCAUUAUGUUGUUUACAACUAUUAUGGUUGUAAACAACAUAACAGAGCAUUGAACUGAGUAGUAGUUUGUAUGAUUAGCUCAGCAGAUGUACAAAUUCACCAGGUAUUUGCUAAUUGCUACUGACUACUCUGAAGGAGCUGAGUGGGGAGUCGCCUUAAAAUGCAUUCACUGGUCAAUCUCCAAUUUAAUCAAAUGUCUCAGUUAACCUAUCAGAAGCUUUUAAUGCUUCUGAUGGGUGAUGACAUCAGAUGAUGAUGUCAUCUGAGAUUUCCCUCAUUGUUAGACAGAUAGUAAUAAUUCUGUAUAUAAAACGAUAUUGACAUUAACAAAUACUUUUCUGACAUAUUCUGGUUGUCAUUAUUGUAGUAUUUAAGUAAUAGAAAUAUGAUGUAACUUCAAACAGGGAGAAAAAAAUGUAUUUUUAUUAGAUACAUGUAAACUUCUGGUUUACAUGUAUGGGUUAACUGUAUGUGCUAAUACAGUUAACCCAUAUUAUUUCCUGUCACAACAAUGAAUUGUGCUGUUUCAGAAGUUAUUGCAAUAAACAAUAAUAUUGCUGUUUUGAGCCCAUUUUCAAAUAAUAUAAAAGUAAUGGCAUAUUGCCAGUUCACAAUCUCAAAGAUCAAUAAACCUUAAUUUCUAAUGAACAUUUUACAUAUUUGUCAUGCAUUCUUUGGUAGAAAAGAGUGAGAAGCUUUAUCAUGCGGUAAUUUUUUUUUUGCUGCUUAUGUGUUAGGCUAUAACAUAAAGUACCAAUACAAUGUUUUGUUUGCAACACAAUCAAAUU
Poecilia latipinna (sailfin molly) is the source of this 917-nucleotide long non-coding RNA. RefSeq lists it as uncharacterized. The record is from RefSeq and is a predicted model, not a curated record. Lineage: Eukaryota; Metazoa; Chordata; Actinopteri; Cyprinodontiformes; Poeciliidae. The transcript has 2 exons.